Engraulis encrasicolus (European anchovy) is the source of this 453-nucleotide long non-coding RNA. RefSeq lists it as uncharacterized. The transcript has 3 exons. Lineage: Eukaryota; Metazoa; Chordata; Actinopteri; Clupeiformes; Engraulidae. The record is from RefSeq and is a predicted model, not a curated record.
ACAUCUAAGUCGAAUGGAGACAGUGUACAGUACAAGGCAUCAUGGCUGAUGCGUACCUGUUAAAGACACAGGGAGGCUCAAGCCAGGAUGCUCCUUCUCCUUCUCAACCAUCUCACUGGUCUCGUGGGACUGCCUGGUCUUGUGUGUUUCCUGACAUGGUUGUGCCCCAUAGCAGGUGUAGAGUUUGUCCCAUACAACCUGACAGUGGAAGUACAGGAUUUUAAUGCCAUUGUGCGCUGGAAUCCUGCUCCACAGAACCCGGGCAACUGCACAUAUGUGGUGGAGCUACAGGAAUUCGGGGGGGAGUGGAUUCAAAAAGAAACGGAUUCAACUACGCUGACAUGUGAUUUGGGGAACUUUAAAUCAGAUGAAGACGGCCAGCUGAAGCACUAUCUUGUGAGAGGAAAAACAAUAUGUAGCAACAAAACCUCAGAGUGGAUAAAUAACACUUCU